RNAcentral lists this ribosomal RNA (484 nucleotides) under uncultured bacterium. RNAcentral's name for it is "partial 16S ribosomal RNA". It matches the Rfam family "Bacterial small subunit ribosomal RNA", at positions 30 to 507 of the family's 1533-position model. The record is from RNAcentral.
AUUGAACGCUGGCGGCAGGCCUAACACAUGCAAGUCGAGCGGAUGAAGGGAGCUUGCUCCUGGAUUCAGCGGCGGACGGGUGAGUAAUGCCUAGGAAUCUGCCUGGUAGUGGGGGAUAACGUCCGGAAACGGGCGCUAAUACCGCAUACGUCCUGAGGGAGAAAGUGGGGGAUCUUCGGACCUCACGCUAUCAGAUGAGCCUAGGUCGGAUUAGCUAGUUGGUGGGGUAAAGGCCUACCAAGGCGCCGAUCCGUAACUGGUCUGAGAGGAUGAUCAGUCACACUGGAACUGAGACACGGUCCAGACUCCUACGGGAGGCAGCAGUGGGGAAUAUUGGACAAUGGGCGAAAGCCUGAUCCAGCCAUGCCGCGUGUGUGAAGAAGGUCCUCGGAUUGUAAAGCACUUUAAGUUGGGAGGAAGGGCAGUAAGUUAAUACCUUGCUGUUUUGACGUUACCAACAGAAUAAGCACCGGCUAACUUCGUG